This 465-nucleotide ribosomal RNA is filed under the name uncultured bacterium. RNAcentral describes it as "partial 16S ribosomal RNA". It matches the Rfam family "Bacterial small subunit ribosomal RNA", at positions 28 to 507 of the family's 1533-position model. The record is from RNAcentral.
GAUGAACGCUGGCGGCGUGCUUAACACAUGCAAGUCGAACGGAAAGGCUCCUGCUUGCAGGGGUACUCGAGUGGCGAACGGGUGAGUAACACGUGGGUGAUCUGCCCUGCACUUCGGGAUAAGCCUGGGAAACUGGGUCUAAUACCGGAUAGGACGAUGGUUUGGAUGCCAUUGUGGAAAGUUUUUCGGUGUGGGAUGAGCUCGCGGCCUAUCAGCUUGUUGGUGAGGUAAUGGCCUACCAAGGCGUCGACGGGUAGCCGGCCUGGGAGGGUGUACGGCCACAUUGGGACUGAGAGACGGCCCAGACUCCUACGGGAGGCAGCAGUGGGGAAUAUUGCACAAUGGGAGCAAGCCUGAUGCAGCGACGCCGCGUGGGGGAUGACGGCCUUCGGGUUGUAAACUGCUUUCGCUAGGGACGAAGCGCAAGUGACGGUACCUGGAGAAGAAGCACCGGCUAACUACGUG